CCCUUAGAUGUUCUGGGCCGCACGCGCGCUACACUGACGAUGGCAACGAGUUUUUCCUUCGCCGAAAGGUGUGGGUAAUCUUUUGAAACAUCGUCGUGCUGGGGAUAGAUCAUUGCAAUUUUUGAUCUUGAACGAGGAAUUCCUAGUAAGCGCGAGUCAUCAGCUCGCGUUGAUUACGUCCCUGCCCUUUGUACACACCGCCCGUCGCUACUACCGAUUUAAUGGUUUAGUGAGGACUCCUGAUUGGCGCCGCCGCCCCGGCAACGGAGCAGCGGACUGCCGAAAAGUUGUUCAAACUUGAUCAUUUAGAGGAAGUAAAAGUCGUAACA
Molecule: ribosomal RNA, 329 nt
Filed under: uncultured eukaryote
Lineage: Eukaryota
Description: partial 18S ribosomal RNA
Rfam family: Eukaryotic small subunit ribosomal RNA
Source: RNAcentral